This 253-nucleotide ribosomal RNA is filed under the name uncultured bacterium. RNAcentral describes it as "partial 16S ribosomal RNA". It matches the Rfam family "Bacterial small subunit ribosomal RNA", at positions 524 to 776 of the family's 1533-position model. The record is from RNAcentral.
UACGUAGGGUGCGAGCGUUAAUCGGAAUUACUGGGCGUAAGGCGUGCGCAGGCGGUUUUGCAAGCCGGAUGUGAAAUCCCCGGGCUCAACCUGGGAAUGGCAUUCGGGACUGCAAGGCUGGAGUGCGGCAGAGGAGACUGGAAUUCCUGGUGUAGCAGUGAAAUGCGUAGAUAUCAGGAGGAAUACCGAUGGCGAAGGCAGGUCUCUGGGCUGACACUGACGCUCAUGCACGAAAGCGUGGGGAGCAAACAGG